CUCUUAUCCAGAGUGGUGGAGGGACUGGCCCUAUGAAACCCGGCAACCGGCAUUUAUUGCAACGGUGCUAAGUCCAGCAGAUUAAAUCUGAAAGAUGAGAG
RNAcentral lists this non-coding RNA (101 nucleotides) under Gracilibacter sp. RNAcentral's name for it is "SAM-I sequence". It matches the Rfam family "SAM riboswitch aptamer (S box leader)". Rfam says of the family: The SAM riboswitch is found upstream of a number of genes which code for proteins involved in methionine or cysteine biosynthesis in Gram-positive bacteria. Lineage: Bacteria; Bacillati; Bacillota; Clostridia; Eubacteriales; Gracilibacteraceae. The record is from RNAcentral.